GUGCCAGCAGCCGCGGUAAUACGUAGGGGGCGAGCGUUGCCCGGAAUCACUGGGCGUAAAGGGGGUGUAGGCGGUCUAAUAAGUCAGAUGUAAAAGUACCUGGCUCAACCAGGGGGAUGCGUCUGAAACUGUUAGACUUGAGGUUACUAGAGGGAGACGGAAUUACCUGUGUAGCGGUGAAAUGCGUAGAUACAGGUAAGAAGGCCGGUGGUGAAGACGGUCUCCUGGGGUAAACCUGACGCUGAGGCCCGAAAGCUAGGGGAGCAAACCGGAUUAGAUACCCGGGUAGUCC
This 292-nucleotide ribosomal RNA is filed under the name uncultured prokaryote. RNAcentral's name for it is "partial 16S ribosomal RNA". It matches the Rfam family "Bacterial small subunit ribosomal RNA", at positions 505 to 796 of the family's 1533-position model. The record is from RNAcentral.